UACGUAGGGUGCGAGCGUUAUUCGGAAUUACUGGGCGUAAAGCGUGCGCAGGCGGUUUUGUAUGACAGAUUUGAAAUCCCCGGGCUUAACCUGGGAACUGCAUUUGUGACUGCAUCGCUGGAGUGCGGCAGAGGGGGAUGGAAUUCCGCGUGUAGCAGUGAAAUGCGUAGAUAUGCGGAGGAACGCCGAUGGCGAAGGCAAUCCCCUGGGCCUGCACUGACGCUCAUGCACGAAAGCGUGGGGAGCAAACAGG
This 253-nucleotide ribosomal RNA is filed under the name uncultured bacterium. RNAcentral describes it as "partial 16S ribosomal RNA". It matches the Rfam family "Bacterial small subunit ribosomal RNA", at positions 524 to 776 of the family's 1533-position model. The record is from RNAcentral.